AACUAAAGGCCGCUGGUAGACUACCAGGUUGAUAGGCUAGGUGUGUAAGUUCGGUAACGAACUUAGCUAACUAGUACUAAUUGGCCGUGCGGCUUGACCAUA
This 102-nucleotide ribosomal RNA is filed under the name Deltaproteobacteria bacterium. RNAcentral's name for it is "partial 23S ribosomal RNA". It matches the Rfam family "Bacterial large subunit ribosomal RNA", at positions 2825 to 2925 of the family's 2925-position model. Lineage: Bacteria; Pseudomonadati; Myxococcota; Myxococcia. The record is from RNAcentral.